Non-coding RNA from Oryzias latipes (Japanese medaka), 697 nucleotides. The record is from the annotation of a RefSeq genome assembly. Lineage: Eukaryota; Metazoa; Chordata; Actinopteri; Beloniformes; Adrianichthyidae.
UGCUGCUGCAGCUCCUGUAGGCCAAAGAUUCCAAGCUGAACAUCCAGAGCUGCUGAGAACAGCUGCAGAUGACUGACUCAGUGUGUUUGCAUAUGUGUGCUGCCUCUCUGCUUCCAGCAGUUAAGAGCUCAGUGUUGAUCAGUGGCUGUCCAGACCUUUCAGAGACACUGACACACCUGCAGCACAAUGAGGAUGUCACUGACUCUGCUGCUGGCUGUCCUGGAGCUCCUUGUUCAGGGUUCAUCAGGUGAAAUCACUUUGACUCAGACUCCUGGAUCUAAGUCUGUUGUUCCAGGAGAAACUUUCUCCAUUAGAUGUCAAACCAGUUCAAGUGUUAGCACCAACCUUCACUGGUAUCUACAGAAAUCUGUAGAAGCUCCUAAACUCCUGAUAUAUUAUGCAACAACUCGUCAGUCUGGAGUUUCUGAUCGUUUUCGUGGAAGUGGAUCUGGCAGUGAUUACACUCUGACCAUCAGUAGAGUUCAGGCUGAAGAUUCAGGAGUUUAUUACUGUCAGCAGAGCAACAGCUUUCCGUUCACACAGUGAAACAACGUCGUACAAAAACCUCUUUCAGCUAAAGAGGAACUGAUCUGAAUGAACAGCUGCUCUCAACCUUUUUGGUGAAAAUGUGGAUUUUCCCAUAAAUUUUUUGAUCUUCUAACAUCAAUGAAUCUACCAAAGGAAAACAAUGCUUAGC